GACGAACGCUGGCGGCGUGCUUAACACAUGCAAGUCGAACGGAAAGGCCCUGCUUUUGUGGGGUGCUCGAGUGGCGAACGGGUGAGUAACACGUGAGUAACCUGCCCUUGACUUUGGGAUAACUUCAGGAAACUGGGGCUAAUACCGGAUAGGAGCUCCUGCUGCAUGGUGGGGGUUGGAAAGUUUCGGCGGUUGGGGAUGGACUCGCGGCUUAUCAGCUUGUUGGUGGGGUAGUGGCUUACCAAGGCUUUGACGGGUAGCCGGCCUGAGAGGGUGACCGGCCACAUUGGGACUGAGAUACGGCCCAGACUCCUACGUGAGGCAGCAGUGGGGAAUAUUGCACAAUGGGCGGAAGCCUGAUGCAGCAACGCCGCGUGCGGGAUGACGGCCUGCGGGUUGUAAACCGCUUUCGCCUGUGACGAAGCGUGAGUGACGGUAAUGGGUAAAGAAGCACCGGCUAACUACGUG
This 468-nucleotide ribosomal RNA is filed under the name uncultured bacterium. RNAcentral describes it as "partial 16S ribosomal RNA". It matches the Rfam family "Bacterial small subunit ribosomal RNA", at positions 28 to 507 of the family's 1533-position model. The record is from RNAcentral.